This is a small nuclear RNA of Aotus nancymaae (Ma's night monkey), 192 nucleotides long. Its record names the gene U2. It matches the Rfam family "U2 spliceosomal RNA". Rfam says of the family: U2 is a small nuclear RNA (snRNA) component of the spliceosome (involved in pre-mRNA splicing). Complementary binding between U2 snRNA (in an area lying towards the 5' end but 3' to hairpin I) and the branchpoint sequence (BPS) of the intron results the bulging out of an unpaired adenosine, on the BPS, which initiates a nucleophilic attack at the intronic 5' splice site, thus starting the first of two transesterification reactions that mediate splicing. The record is from Ensembl. Lineage: Eukaryota; Metazoa; Chordata; Mammalia; Primates; Aotidae.
UUCUAUUCUCUGCCUUUUGGCCAAGAUCAAGUAUAGUAUGUGUUCUUACCAGUUUAAUAUCUGAUAUAUCCUCUAUCUGAGGACAAAAAUAUUAAAUGGAUUUUUGGAAUAGGGAGAUGGAAUAGGAGCUUGCUCCAUCUACUCCACGCAUUGAUCUGGUCUUGCAGUACCUCCAGGAACGGAGCACCCCCU